AUUGAACGCUGGCGGCAUGCCUAACACAUGCAAGUCGAACGAGUGGCGGACGGGUGAGUAAUGUAUGGGAACCUGCCCGAUGGAGGGGGAUAACUACUGGAAACAGUAGCUAAUACCGCAUACUCUCGGAUGGGCCCAGAUGGGAUUAGCUAGUAGGUGGGGUAACGGCUCACCUAGGCAACGAUCCCUAGCUGGUUUGAGAGGACGACCCGCCACACUGGAACUGAGACACGGCCCAGACUCCUACGGGAGGCAGCAGGGGGGAAUAUUGCACAAUGGGCGAAAGCCUGAUGCAGCCAUGCCGCGUGUAUGAAGAAGGCCUUCGGGUUGUAAAGUACUUUAGGCGAGGAGGCGGUACUCGCAGAAGAAGCAACGGCUAACUACGUGCCAGCAGCCGCGGUAAUAC
RNAcentral lists this ribosomal RNA (406 nucleotides) under uncultured bacterium. Its description in RNAcentral is "partial 16S ribosomal RNA". It matches the Rfam family "Bacterial small subunit ribosomal RNA", at positions 30 to 526 of the family's 1533-position model. The record is from RNAcentral.